CCUACGGGAGGCAGCAGUGGGGAAUUUUGGACAAUGGGCGCAAGCCUGAUCCAGCCAUGCCGCGUGCAGGAUGAAGGCCUUCGGGUUGUAAACUGCUUUUGUACGGAACGAAACGGCCUUUUCUAAUAAAGAGGGCUAAUGACGGUACCGUAAGAAUAAGCACCGGCUAACUACGUGCCAGCAGCCGCGGUAAUACGUAGGGUGCAAGCGUUAAUCGGAAUUACUGGGCGUAAAGCGUGCGCAGGCGGUGAUGUAAGACAGUUGUGAAAUCCCCGGGCUCAACCUGGGAACUGCAUCUGUGACUGCAUUGCUGGAGUACGGCAGAGGGGGAUGGAAUUCCGCGUGUAGCAGUGAAAUGCGUAGAUAUGCGGAGGAACACCGAUGGCGAAGGCAAUCCCCUGGGCCUGUACUGACGCUCAUGCACGAA
Molecule: ribosomal RNA, 427 nt
Filed under: Variovorax sp.
Lineage: Bacteria; Pseudomonadati; Pseudomonadota; Betaproteobacteria; Burkholderiales; Comamonadaceae
Description: bacterial SSU rRNA
Rfam family: Bacterial small subunit ribosomal RNA
Source: RNAcentral